This 497-nucleotide ribosomal RNA is filed under the name uncultured bacterium. RNAcentral's name for it is "partial 16S ribosomal RNA". It matches the Rfam family "Bacterial small subunit ribosomal RNA", at positions 28 to 507 of the family's 1533-position model. The record is from RNAcentral.
GAUGAACGCUGGCGGCGUGCCUAAUACAUGCAAGUCGAGCGAACGGACGAGAAGCUUGCUUCUCUGAUGUUAGCGGCGGACGGGCGAGUAACACGUGGAUAACCUACCUAUAAGACUGGGAUAACUUCGGGAAACCGGAGCUAAUACCGGAUGAUAUUUUGAACCGCAUGGUUCAAAAGUGAAAGACGGUCUUGCUGUCACUUAUAGAUGGAUCCGCGCUGCAUUAGCUAGUUGGUAAGGUAACGGCUUACCAAGGCAACGAUGCAUAGCCGACCUGAGAGGAUGAUCGGCCACACUGGAACUGAGACACGGUCCAGACUCCUACGGGAGGCAGCAGUAGGGAAUCUUCCGCAAUGGGCGAAAGCCUGACGGAGCAACGCCGCGUGAGUGAUGAAGGUCUUCGGAUCGUAAAACUCUGUUAUUAGGGAAGAACAUAUGUGUAAGUAACUGUGCACAUCUUGACGGUACCUAAUCAGAAAGCCACGGCUAACUACGUG